RNAcentral lists this non-coding RNA (29 nucleotides) under Mus musculus (house mouse). The record is from RNAcentral. Lineage: Eukaryota; Metazoa; Chordata; Mammalia; Rodentia; Muridae.
UGCAAGGCUAGUUGAUAUCCACGGGAUGC